GACGAACGCUGGCGGCGUGCUUAACACAUGCAAGUCGAACGGAAAGGCCCUGCUUGCAGGGUGCUCGAGUGGCGAACGGGUGAGUAACACGUGGGUGAUCUGCCCCUUACUUUGGGAUAAGCCUGGGAAACUGGGUCUAAUACUGGAUAGGACCAUGCUGUAGGUGGUGUGGUGGAAAGAUUAGUUUCGGUAAGGGAUGAGCUCGCGGCCUAUCAGCUUGUUGGUGGGGUAAUGGCCUACCAAGGCGUCGACGGGUAGCCGGCCUGAGAGGGUGGACGGCCACAUUGGGACUGAGAUACGGCCCAGACUCCUACGGGGGGCAGCAGUGGGGAAUAUUGCACAAUGGGCGCAAGCCUGAUGCAGCGACGCCGCGUGGGGGAUGACGGCCUUCGGGUUGUAAACUCCUUUCAGCCAUGACGAAGCCUUCGGGUGACGGUAGUGGUAGAAGAAGCACCGGCUAACUACGUG
This 468-nucleotide ribosomal RNA is filed under the name uncultured bacterium. RNAcentral describes it as "partial 16S ribosomal RNA". It matches the Rfam family "Bacterial small subunit ribosomal RNA", at positions 28 to 507 of the family's 1533-position model. The record is from RNAcentral.